Molecule: long non-coding RNA, 885 nt
Filed under: Gossypium raimondii (Peruvian cotton)
Lineage: Eukaryota; Viridiplantae; Streptophyta; Magnoliopsida; Malvales; Malvaceae
Description: long non-coding RNA (GRAI_LNC010891)
Source: RNAcentral
AAGUUGUCCCCCUUUAAUUAUUUUCCAUUUCAUUUUAUAUUUUUAAAAAUCCUUUCAUUUAUUUUUCUUUAUUUUUUUCUUUUGAAAAUUCCUUUCCCCAUUGUCUUCAUCUACAUGUUGCAACGUUUUUUCUUUUUUCUUUUUCAUUUCGCCAUCUCUACCUGACCUUUUCAUUUUUUUCCUUCAAAGCGCCCUUAAAUUUUCCCUCAUUUUCUUACCAUCCAAUCACCACAAAAAUCCCCCUUUUCAUUUGCUUUUCUGAAAUGGGUCUAAAUCAAUUUUCUUAGAACCAGUAAAAAUCUCAAAAAAUAUGUCAAGUAUGUCAAGAUUCAAAUCAAGACAGUUGUUGUGGACUUCACUGGCGAUCUUGAUGAAGGCGUGAAGAAAAAUAAAAGAAACUAUUGAAGGACUGGACGUGGGGAUUUUGAUUAACAAGUUGGGAUUUCAACAAAAGAACCUAAAAACCAAAAUCCCAUCAAGAAGUUCAACAUACCCAUGAGUUCUCAACAGUCUCCUUUGUUGGGUAGUGGCGCAAACCGAAAGUAGAGACAAGAGACUCGCUCUUCUAAUCCUCACUGGUUAGCCUUUUUUUAACCCAUCAAGUGCGAAAUUAACUUCGUCAAUGUGCUCCAUCAUUUCCCCGAAUUCUUAAGCCUCCAUUAGACUCCAAGUCGGCGAAAUCCAUGGCAUAGAAGAAUACCCUACCUCAUUCUUGCUUUGGUAUUGCUUCUGUUUCUUGGAUCUUUUAACGACGUUGUUUCUUGGAUCUUCGAAUUUGAAACUUCUUUGGGUUGGUUUAAUGAAUGCUUUUAUUUGGUUCUUAAAUUUCACUGGCCAUUGCUAAUGUUGGUGCUACUGUUGCUAUCUUUAUUGUUGAGUAGCAUC